Molecule: ribosomal RNA, 551 nt
Filed under: uncultured Glomus
Lineage: Eukaryota; Fungi; Glomeromycota; Glomeromycetes; Glomerales; Glomeraceae
Description: SSU rRNA
Rfam family: Eukaryotic small subunit ribosomal RNA
Source: RNAcentral
GGGCAAGUCUGGUGCCAGCAGCCGCGGUAAUUCCAGCUCCAAUAGCGUAUAUUAAAGUUGUUGCGGUUAAAAAGCUCGUAGUUGAAUUUCGGGAUUGACGUGACGGUCAUGCCUUAAGGGGUAUGAACUGUUACUGUUGAUUUCUCACCUUCUGGAGAAACUUGAUGUCCUUUAUUGGGUGUCUUGCGGAUCCAGGACCUUUACCUUGAAAAAAUUAGAGUGUUUAAAGCAGGCAUUUUUGCUCGAAUACAUUAGCAUGGAAUAAUAGAAUAGGACGGCAUGGUUCUAUUUUGUUGGUUUCUAGGAUCACCGUAAUGAUUAAUAGGGAUAGUUGGGGGCAUUAGUAUUCAAUUGUCAGAGGUGAAAUUCUUGGAUUUAUUGAAGACUAACUACUGCGAAAGCAUUUGCCAAGGAUGUUUUCAUUAAUCAAGAACGAAAGUUAGGGGAUCGAAGACGAUCAGAUACCGUCGUAGUCUUAACCAUAAACUAUGCCGACUAGGAAUCAGACGAUGUUAAUUUUUUAAUGACUCGUUCGGCGCCUUACGGGAAAC